UAUAAUGAAUAUAUAUACGUAAUAUAUAAUAUUUAAUAAAUUUAAUAAUUAAAUACUUAGUUUUUUGUGAAAGGUGAUAUUUCGUAAGGUUUUCAACUAUAUAGUUUAAAACAACAAACUAACAAAGACUAACACUUAUGCUGAAGGCACACGAAAAUAUGCAUUUAGAGAUGAAUAUUUUAAAUGCAUUACAACAACUAGAAAGCGUCAAAAUAGCUGUAGAUACGAGCGAUGAUCCAAAGUUAAAGGAUGCAACAAAUGAUGAUUUAAAUAUGCUUAUUAAUUUGCUUGAGAAUCCAAUAUUAAGAAGCAUAGUAACACUACAGGAUUCUGUGGCCAUGCUCACUACUCAGGUUGUGCAUCAUCCUUCUAUUAUUCCAGAUGACUUUUUUUUGAAUACAUGAAGGAGAUGAAGAACAAAGAGUUCCACAGGUUUCGCCACCGCAAAGCCUUGAAUUUAAGUUCAAGUUCCAAAAUACCGGUAUUUUUUGUUGACUUAGCUUUAUCUUACGCUGAGAUCACUGUUGCGUUGUAAGUUUUAUUAUGGGUUAGUUAGUAUUAUUUGACGAUUGAGAAGGAUCGCUCGCAUGAUAAUGUCAAAUUUUAUUUUUGGUAAAUUUCAGGAUGAUUUUUGACUUUCGUCACAUCAAUCUAGUAAAUGUGUAGUUUUGGUAUGUCUUUUGUGUUUAUCUGCAUUAUUAAUUCACGUUUUAACUGUUUCUUUUAAAAACAUUUAUCUUAUUUUUUCUGUCUGCCAUAGUUCUUAUCACUAAAUCUCUUUUGCUAACUAGAAGUGAUUGCGAAAUUAAUCCCAGAAUAGAUGAUUGUAAAAACUAACGAAUUCAUAUAUAUUCUGAACUUUUAAUUAGAAUAAAUUGUUUAAAUACAACAGAAACAAGUAUAAAGUAGAAUGGUAAAGAUCACAUAUUGAGAAAACUAAAUCUAGAUUGUUUCUAUUGAAAAUGUUUGAUUAUAAAAUGCGACGGAACCAAACAGAUUGGUGAGACCAAUGAUGAAACAUUCGUUGGAUUGGUCGGACUGAAAUUCUUGUGUGUUUGUGUGUUAUUCCAACAGCUGUAAUAUAAUUAUUUCACUAUGGCUAUCACUAAUAUAGGUUCAACCUUUUUAUUUCUACAAGAUGUUACGAGUGGUGGACAGUUUUUUCCCAGUUCUUCUCGUCUUUGCCCUUGAUUUGAGAAAUUGAUAGUAAAUUUUAAUCUAUUAUUAAUUAUUGUGUGUUAGAAUUCAGACCGUUGACCAAUCACAAUGAAACUGAAUGCGCCGUUGAUUCGUCUUACGUUUUACGUUCUCACCACUAUUUGGAAGUCGUAUCGUAGUCUUUAGAAAUCUGAUGAUAUUUAUAAAAUUAUUAUAAGUGUUGCAUUGCAAAUGAAGUGUGUAGUUUUAAGGUGUAGCAUUGCGAAUUUUAUAACUUAUAUUAUAAGCUGGCUAUUGCAAAUUUUACAAUUCAUAUAAUUUACAUUAUAAGGCUAUUGCGAAUUUUACAAUUCAUAUAAUUUACAUUAUAAGGCUAUUGCGAAUUUUACAAUUUAUAUAAUUUACAAUUUAAGGCUAUUGCGAAUUUUACAAUUUAUAUAAUUUACAUUAUAAGGCUAUUGCGAAUUUUACAAUUCAUAUAAUUUACAUUAUAAGGCUAUUGCGAAUUUUACAAUUCAUAUAAUUUACAUUAUAAGGCUAUUGCGAAUUUUACAAUUCAUAUAAUUUACAUUAUAAGGCUAUUGCGAAUUUUACAAUUCAUAUAAUUUACAUUAUAAGGCUAUUGCGAAUUUUACAAUUCAUAUAAUUUACAU
This is a long non-coding RNA of Pieris napi, 1811 nucleotides long. RefSeq lists it as uncharacterized. Lineage: Eukaryota; Metazoa; Arthropoda; Insecta; Lepidoptera; Pieridae. The transcript is spliced from 3 exons. The record is from RefSeq and is a predicted model, not a curated record.